UGGGGAAUUUUGCGCAAUGGGGGAAACCCUGACGCAGCAACGCCGCGUGAGUGAUGAAGGCCUUCGGGUCGUAAAGCUCUGUCAGAGGGAAAGAAGUGCAGUGGUGCUAAUACCAUCAUUGCUUGACGGUACCCUCAAAGGAAGCACCGGCUAACUCCGUGCCAGCAGCCGCGGUAAUACGGAGGGUGCGAGCGUUGUUCGGAAUUAUUGGGCGUAAAGCGCGUGCAGGCGGUCUUUUAAGUCUGAUGUGAAAGCCCCGGGCUCAACCUGGGAAGUGCAUUGGAAACUGGGAGACUUGAAUACGGGAGAGGGUAGUGGAAUUCCUAGUGUAGGAGUGAAAUCCGUAGAUAUUAGGAGGAACACCGGUGGCGAAGGCGGCUACCUGGACCGAUAUUGACG
RNAcentral lists this ribosomal RNA (399 nucleotides) under uncultured bacterium. RNAcentral's name for it is "bacterial SSU rRNA". It matches the Rfam family "Bacterial small subunit ribosomal RNA", at positions 355 to 745 of the family's 1533-position model. The record is from RNAcentral.